UAUUUGCAAUAUUGACUGAAAAUCCUUACGUAAUGCUAAUUUUGAUCUUUUUUUUCACUAGCAUGUUUUGGAGCCCUCAGACUUGAAGAAGGACAUAGCUACUAAAGUAGAUAAUGGUUAUUACACACGGCACGUUUUUAAAUGGUCUCCAGUGUGGACUGUUCAGCCAGUGAUGGAGUGAGUACAUUGAGGAAGAAGGUGUCAUUUGGAAUCCAGAACCAUUCCACAAGGAUGACUACCUGAUACAUGGUCAGAAUGCUCAAACUGAUGGCAUACCGAUGGCUUUCUCUUCCAGUCCCCUAAAAAAGUGUUGUCAGCCUGAGUUCCCCUGAUCUACCUACUCUCAUUUCCAUUCCCAAAGUCGUGACCUGAUUCUCUCACUUGGCUAUCACAGGGAGUUGAGGUGUCAGUAUGUGAGUACAACAAACCUAUUCAAUGAUGCAUAGGAAGCAAAGAAAAAUAGUUUUGUUUGCUGACUACUUAAAGUAUAGAAUGUUUUGGUUUUCAGUUGAUUUUGCAAAGCAGUAAAGACAUUUCUUGGUUGUUAAUUCCACAUGUAUUUUUUCCUCCUCUCUUACUAAGUGAAUUUCAAUGCUAAUUUCCUAAGAAAGCAAUUGAAUAAGUCUUAAUUUAAAGCUUGUACUAAUGAUAAUCAUAUAAGGUUCACUUCCUACCCCUGCCCCCCGCCCCCAACUUUUAAGUGAUAACGUAAGUAAAAUACCCAUUUCAAAUUUGUCUGGCAAAUGAGAGAAUCAGUAGUUUGCCAGUAUUUUUCAUUACUUUUCUUAGAAUUGUUUUUCCUUUACACAUUUAUAGUGCAAAAUAGCUCAGUGGUGCAGACUCAUACUAAGCUGAUCAACUUGCAUUUUGGUCUUCAUGGGAUUUACACAUUUUUUCACUCAACAUUUAUUAAAGGAACAAACAACAUUUUGGGCUAUACCAAACAUACCUUUAGCUUGACUAAGGGCUGAAUUUCAUAAAGGAACAAAAUAUAGAAUUCAUUUUCACAUACUUUAAAGUGUGACUCAUCCCUGUUGAACUUGUGAGACUCAAAGCUACGCCCAUGUCACUUAAUUUUAUGUCCUUCCCUGUUUACUGUGUCUGACCUUCAAGAUUUCGUGACUGAUGCUGAAAUGGAAGCCAGCCAUGCAGAAAUGUGGGGGAAAAUGAAUCUGAAGAAUGCACGGGGAAGUAGGAAUUCAUUUCUAGCGUUCCCAAACCUGCUUUGUCACGUCAGCUUCACUGCAGUCAGAGGAAAAGAACUGAGUUCAUGGAGAUUACCAACUAAACCUUACGUCUGUCCUUAAUGUUUUUAGGAAAUGUGCUGAAAAGGUAAGUGAGAUACCUGAUUUGAAGGAAGACUGUAUUAGGUAUUUUUAGAUGUGUUAGUAAAAAUGGAUGGCUUCUUUAUUCGGAGCUUCAGGAACCUUGCCCCCGUUUGGUGCGGUUCUCAGUGGUUGUGGAGAAGGUGGAGUUGUUCCAGCCAGCGUGAAGCUUUCCUCUACUUCCUGGCAGUCACGCUGGAACUGGCACUGAAGUGUACAGAAUGCCGGUUUUUGUUGCUUUGUCCUCAACUCCUCUCAAAAUAUUUUCAGUCGAGUUUUAAUUUUACCCCUUAAACUAUAUAGAAAAAUCUUUAAAAUGCUUCUAAGUUCCUACCAGAACUAUAUUUGCAUUGUAUAUAGUCAAACAAGAAUAAAAUAAUGGGUUUUAUAGGUCUCUGUUAACCUCACCUACAUUGAUUUUAUAGAUAAUUUUAAAAUUACUGAGGUUACAUUGUUCCACGUUUAUUAAAUCUCUGUGUAAAUUAGCCUUAUGCCAGACCCGGAGUAAAACGAUGGAAUAGCACACAGUUCAAGUACUCAGUAAAUUCAUCUUUAUUGAUAAAAUAGUUAGAAUUUUAGUUUUGGGAAUCCGAAUCUAAUAAAAUGAGACUUAAUUCCAUUUCCCAAUCAAAAAUCAUCUGUAGCUUGCAAUUUAAAUAUGACAAAUUGUAUUUGAAAGAUCCAGCGUUUAUGUUUGAGAGAGACAUUUACUAAAUACUUUCUAUGUUCCAGGUACUGUUCUAAGCUCUUUACAUAUUUAUUUUUUAAUCCUUAUAAUUGUCCUGUAAAAUGGGUGCUAUUACUAAAAUCCGUUUUAAGUCAUUAAGGCAGAAAAGCUAAUUACCUUAUUCAGCUUUGUACAGCUACGACCUAAAACCAGUAUGUGAACCCAGACAGGCUGAUUGUGCCUGGACUCUCAAUAUGGGCAUGAUAUUUAUAUGCGGUACCUGGCUAGGAGUACCUGCAAGAUAGUCCAGAUUCUGAAUAAAACUUGGGUAGUUUUAAAAGAGAAAGUUUCAGUAGCAUAGAAAGACUAUAGAUGAUAGUUACCAAACUUUUCGGAGAGCCAAAAAUUCCCUGUUUUUAACUCUUGGCUCCAGGACAGCCAUUUAGCAUGAUGACUUCGCCGCUGCCUUCUUCCCCUCCUGCCACUCCGUGCAGUAGUGUGCUUGCGCACACACAGUUUCAAGGGCUGCAGAGGAGAAGCAGAGCUUAUCAACAGUUACCUGUUAGGUUCACGACCUAUUUUUGCUUACGUCCAGUCCUCUUUUCUUUUGGGAAUGUGGACAUUUUUCUUUAGCUGCCAGAUCAUGAGAAAAUAUGACUGCUGAGAUUUUUUGCUAGGAUUCUUUUAAAAAAUAGAUCAGGCUCUGUACAUAGUAAAGAAAAACUCAUGAGGACUCCAGGUAGGUAAUUUACUUCUAUUGUAUGUAUAGUUUCUUUGAAGCCUCUGCACCUCUAUCCUGUUUUACAUUUCUGUAAAUCUGAUUUGACC
Long non-coding RNA from Bos taurus (domestic cattle), 2820 nucleotides. The record is from Ensembl. Lineage: Eukaryota; Metazoa; Chordata; Mammalia; Artiodactyla; Bovidae.